GCAAAACGCGAAGAACCUUACCCAGGUUUGACAUUGAUGGUAAGCCCCAGAGAUGGGGCCCUCCCCCACAAGGGGACCUGAAAACAGAUGUUGCAUGGCUGUCGUCAGCUCGUGCCGUGAGGUGUGCGGUUAAGUCCGCAAACGAGCGCAACCCUCGUCCUAUGUUGCCAGCGGGAAAGCCGGGAACUCGUAGGAGACCGCCGGUGUAAGCCGGAGGAAGGUGGGGAUGAUGUCAAGUCAGCAUGGCUCUUACGCCUGGGGCUUCACACAUGCUACAAUGGACGCAACAAAGGGCAGCGAUACCGCGAGGUGGAGCCAAUCCCAAAAAUACGUCCCCAGUUCAGAUUGCAGUCUGCAACUCGACUGCAUGAAGGCGGAAUCGCUAGUAAACGCAGGUCAGCUAUACUGCGUUGAAUACGUUCCCCCGGGUCUUGUACAC
Molecule: ribosomal RNA, 439 nt
Filed under: uncultured bacterium
Lineage: Bacteria
Description: bacterial SSU rRNA
Rfam family: Bacterial small subunit ribosomal RNA
Source: RNAcentral